GCCGACGUAGCUCAGCCGGUAGAGCGCACCCAUGGUAAGGGUGAGGUCGUCGGUUCGAUUCCGGCCGUCGGCUCCC
RNAcentral lists this transfer RNA (76 nucleotides) under Parcubacteria group bacterium SW_4_49_11. RNAcentral's name for it is "tRNA-Thr". It matches the Rfam family "tRNA". From Rfam's summary of the family: Transfer RNA (tRNA) molecules are approximately 80 nucleotides in length. The record is from RNAcentral.